Hemicordylus capensis (graceful crag lizard) is the source of this 1949-nucleotide long non-coding RNA. RefSeq lists it as uncharacterized. The record is from RefSeq and is a predicted model, not a curated record. The transcript is spliced from 3 exons. NCBI's taxonomy places the organism in Eukaryota, Metazoa, Chordata, Lepidosauria, Squamata, Cordylidae.
AGGCCUAGAGAACGUGCCCAGUGGUUGCUCCCCCCACCGCCGCCGCCGGGGUGAUGGAGGAGGUGGACUGCUCGGCUUACCACCACCACCCUGGCAGCCACCCCUCGGCCGCAUGGCGGCUGUGAUUUUUUUUUUUUAAAAGCACAUUGGUUUGCUGUGGCGGGCAGGUUGGGGUGGCUGCAGGAGGCCCCCAUGGCAUUUGGAGCCCCCCCCCCGACCUUGGAGGCCACGGACCGAGGCCCCAAGGUCUGGGGGUUAGAGCGCCUCUGCCACCUGCUUUGGCACUGCAUCAGUGGUGGGGCCCUUAAUCUUGGUCUAAAUUUUCAGGCAGCAGUGCAACAGAUCAGGCUGAAAAUAAUCAAACCAGGAAAAAAUGUUAGAGGUAACUGUUUCCUAAGUUAACAGAGACAUAACACAGCAUUGUUAAAAAUAAAAAUAAAAAAGAAAGAAAAGCAGAAUACAGAAGCAAGCAUAGAAUAUCAGGUAAAUGGGAAGCACACCUUUCACCCCUAGCUGAAGGAAAGUCAUGGCAGAGGACAGAACAAGGACUGUAUGGUCUUCUCACAAAUAAAAAUGCAAGGAAAAGAAAAAGAAUGCCGAAAUAGAAGACAAACAGAUCAGUUGCAACCAAGAUAAGUGCUACACACAUUCAAAAACCUUUUGAGCAGCAGAAAACAGAAGCCUCUUGAUGACAGGACAGUGGAUUCAUUUAGUGCUCCAUACAAACAGACUUGUCUUCAACCACAACAGCUUUUCACUUUUAUCUCUAUUUCAGUCCCAACCAAACAAUUGAUUCUCUUCAUCUUCAGCUGAAAUGCAAUCUUGAGGCAAAAGGUUGUCCUAAAUUUUGUAUCAAAAGAGAUUUGUCAUAAGUAUGACAGGAAAAAAUAAUAUUAUCAGGAUGAUGACUUUGCUAAAAUAGUUGCCGCUUGGUGCAAAGGUACUCAAGAAGCAAAUCCUGUUAAUGUUUCAGCUGGGAAAAGGUCAGGGAAGAACAGGGAAAUCACUGUAGCCUUCUCCCACUCUGAAUGUUUUAUUUUUUAAAUCUGAUGCAAAAUUGUGAAUAUAGUUGUGAGUAUAUAUGAAUUCAAAGCUAUGAGUGCUAUUGGCUUUUAUUCUCAAGAGACACCACUACUGGAUCUUCUUUUUUGCACUUACAUGUUGUCACAGUCACACAUAAAGCACCGACAAUCAUUUUCACACACUCUUAAGAAAAAGUAUGGUAUAGCUCAGAGUUUCUUAAGCUUGGGCUCCCAGAUGUUGUUGGACUACAAUUCCCAUCAUCUCUAGAUAUGGCCUUUGUGGCUGACAAUGAUGGGAGUUGUAGUCCAGGUUAAGAAACCCUGGUAUAGCUUACAUGUGACACAGGAGUGAAAAAGCGCUGAAUGCCAUCCAGAAAAAUAAAAUAUUGUCAUAAUUGUAUAAAUAUUGGGUGAUAUCCAGACUAGGGCCCCAGCAGCAGAAGCUCACUCAAUAAUCAGCAGGAGCUUACCCUGAUGGAGCUCCAUGCUGCAAAAGUUGUAAAUACUAUCCAAUGUAAUAUCAGGUCUAUUUCAGUUAAACCAGGGGUUCUUGAACUUGGGUCCACAGAUUGUUGGACUACAACUCCCAUCAUCUCCCUUUGGCCAUUGUGGCUGGGGAUGAUGGGAGUUGUAAUUCAAAAAUUGAUUUUAAAACACAUUGCAAAACACCAAGCAAGCUGCAGUUAAUCCUAGUCUUGCUGCUUAAAGUUUAGUUCAUUCAGGUUUUGUUUAUGGUCUGAGCAUGAAAUUCAAAUGCAGAUUGGCUGGGCCAGAAUCCUUUUUCUUUUCCUUUUCAAUAGGAAGGGAGCUUUUGACAUGGAAGAAUAUUUGAUCCUGCAAGUCACCUGCAUUCUGAAUCUAAGACAAACUGUUCUUUUUGGAAUCUGUAUGUAUUUGUCCCUGACCACAGUCAAAAUUAAAUCAGAG